GAGAAGUUGGCAGCCUGCAAGCAGGAAGCAAUCCCCCACCAGACCUGACCCCGCUGGCACCCUGAUUUCGAACAUCCAGCCUCCAGAACUUAUCUUCCCAUCACAGCCAGCCUUUGAUCAACUGCAGCCAGCCCCCUGCAGCUUUCCUCUGGCCUCUACUCCUCCAGAAAGUCCUUACCGACAUCAACCAUGGUUCUGCUUUCGGACCUUCGCCCUUUCCCACAGAAGCAGACAGGAGAAGAGAAUAUUUAGACAAUAUCUCAACAAAACAAGAAAAAGCAGGCUGUUGAGAUAGAUGGAGAGCGUAGGGUGCAAUACCACAUGGAAGAAAGUCAUUCAGAGCAAGUGAUCUAGAAAUCUGCCUAGGAACUCCCCUCAAUAUUUCGAUCCAGAUGUUAACUGUGCACGGCUAUGGGAGAUGAUGUGAGGUCUGCAGAAAGACAACCAGCACGGGAGCUAUGAGCUGAACAGAGUUAGACGCCUCACAUGUCAGGAAAUGUGAGAUUUCCAAAGACCCAGAGUGGAGAGAACACAGUGAACAACUCAGACAUUUAACUGCAUCCUCAGGAUGGUCACUGAUGAGAAGGAAGUAGGCUCUGGACCAGGAGUGAUGUAUACUCUAGAAACUAACAAGCAACUGCCUUCCAGAACCAAAGCCAACACACCCGUCAUCUUGAAAGGAAAAUAAAAAUAGGCUCCUAACAAUCUAAACCUUGUAAAUUACUGGACAUGAGAAGAAGCAGUAAAAGGUGAGCCUGUAGCAGGC
Molecule: non-coding RNA, 766 nt
Organism: Delphinapterus leucas (beluga whale)
Lineage: Eukaryota; Metazoa; Chordata; Mammalia; Artiodactyla; Monodontidae
Source: RefSeq, a predicted model, not a curated record